RNAcentral lists this unclassified non-coding RNA (363 nucleotides) under uncultured fungus. RNAcentral's name for it is "sequence contains ITS1". The stretch from base 1 to 105 matches the Rfam family "5.8S ribosomal RNA", at positions 50 to 154 of the family's 154-position model. The record is from RNAcentral. Lineage: Eukaryota; Fungi.
GAAAUGCGAUACGCAAUGCGAAUUGCAGAAUUCCGCGAAUCAUCAGAUUCUUGAACGCAACUGGCGCUGGAGGGAUAUCCUUCCAGCAUGUCUGUUUCAGUGUCUGAAAACUUCCUAUCUCAUUUUAAUGUGUUUGACAAGGAGUAAUUCAUUUUUAUAAUGAAUUAUAUACAUUUUCCAAGUCUUACAUGAAAGAUGUAUGUGUGGGUCUUUGGAUCCAUCGAAUUGGUCAUCGAUUUCUCGGUGAUUUCGAUUGGAUGUCACCAAUUACUCGUAUACACAUAGAAUAUAUAUAUAUUUAUAUAUAUAUACUUACUUUAUCAUUUGCAUCUGAAAUCAGGCAAGAAAACCCGCUGAACUUAA